GAGGCCUGCCUGCCCAGUGACAAACGUUCAACGGCCGCGGUAUCCUGACCGUGCAAAGGUAGCAUAAUCACUUGUUCCUUAAUUGGGGACUGGAAUGAAUGGCCUCACGAGGAUUCAACUGUCUCUUACCUCUAAUCAGUGAAAUUGACCUCCCCGUGAAGAGGCGGGGAUACAACAACAAGACGAGAAGACCCUAUGGAGCUUUAAUUUUCUGUCUUAACUACUAAAUAACUAACCCUACUGGGAUAAAAAAAAAGAGAAAUAAGUCAGUAAUUUCGGUUGGGGUGACCUCGGAAAAUAAAACAACCUCCGAAUGAUUUUAACCAAGACAAACAAGUCAAAGUAUUAAAAAUCAAAUUGACCCAAUUCAUUUGAUCAACGGACCAAGUUACCCUAGGGAUAACAGCGCAAUCCUAUUCAAGAGUCCAUAUCGACAAUUAGGGUUUACGACCUCGAUGUUGGAUCAGGACAUCCCAAUGGUGCAGCAGCUAUUAAUGGUUCGUUUGUUCAACGAUUAAAGUCCUACGUGAUCUG
RNAcentral lists this ribosomal RNA (534 nucleotides) under Microtus thomasi (Thomas's pine vole). RNAcentral describes it as "partial 16S ribosomal RNA". It matches the Rfam family "Bacterial large subunit ribosomal RNA", at positions 1850 to 2607 of the family's 2925-position model. Lineage: Eukaryota; Metazoa; Chordata; Mammalia; Rodentia; Cricetidae. The record is from RNAcentral.